CUGCGAGUGAAGCGGGAAGAGCUCAAAUUUGAAAUCUGACAGUUAUCUUUUGCUGUCCGAGUUGUAAUCUGGAGAAGUGUUACCCGUGCUGGACCAUGUACAAGUCUCCUGGAAUGGAGCAUCGUAGAGGGUGAGAAUCCUGUCUUUGACAUGGACUGCCAGUGCUUUUGUGGUGCACUCUCAAAGAGUCGAGUUGUUUGGGAAUGCAGCUCAAAAUUGGUGGCAAAUGCCAUCUAAAGCUAAAUAUUGGCGAGAGACCGAUAGCGAACAAGUACCGUGAGGGAAAGAUGAAAAGAACUUUGCAAAGAGAGUUAAACAGUACGAGAAAUUGCUGAAAGGGAAACGCUUGAAGUCAGUCGCAUUGGUUGGAAAUCAGCCUUGCUUUUGCUUGAUGUACUUUCCAUCUAAUGGGUCAGCAUCAAUUUUGAUUGCUGGAUAAAGGCUUGGGGAAUGUGGCAUCUCUCGAUGUGUUAUAGCCCUUUGUUGUAUACCGCACCUGGGAUUGAGGAACUCAACACGCCGCAAGACCUGGUCUUAUGACCAUGUUCAUGCUUAGGAUGCUGGCAUAAUGGCUUCAAUUGACCCGUCUUGAAACACGGACCAAGGAGUCUAACAUGCAUGCGACUGUUUGGGUGGAAAACCCAUGCGCGUAAUGAAAGUGAAAGGUGAGAUCCCUGUCGUGGGGAGCAUUGACACCCAGACCAGACCUUUUGUGACGGAUCUGUGGUAGAGCAUGCAUGUUGGCACCCGAAAGAUGGUGAACUAUGCCUGAAUAGGGUGAAGCCAGAGGAAACUCUGGCGGAGGCUCGUAGCGAUUCUGACGUGCAAAUCGAUCGUCGAAAU
Molecule: ribosomal RNA, 843 nt
Filed under: Mallocybe africana
Lineage: Eukaryota; Fungi; Basidiomycota; Agaricomycetes; Agaricales; Inocybaceae
Description: partial large subunit ribosomal RNA
Rfam family: Eukaryotic large subunit ribosomal RNA
Source: RNAcentral